This 416-nucleotide long non-coding RNA is filed under the name Bos taurus (domestic cattle). Its description in RNAcentral is "long non-coding RNA NONBTAT012638". The record is from RNAcentral. Lineage: Eukaryota; Metazoa; Chordata; Mammalia; Artiodactyla; Bovidae.
UUGUGUUUGAAUUUCAGCCUCAUGGUUAAACUGCCACCUCAGCUGAAAGGAGCCAGGAGAGGGUGGCAGAGAACAUCACCCAGAGGAGACUGCCAUGCUGCUGUGGGUUAUAAGUGACCUUAACAGGAAACCUUGCUGUCUGUGAUCCUAACAAUGCAAUGAGAUUGUAUCCAGAUCAUGAAACACCUCAGCAUAGAAAUUGUGGUUCUAGACGUUUCCAUCAUAACUGGAUUUUCCUACUGAUGAAUAGGGAACAUGUUACAGUCACCAACCACAAGUGUUCUCUUUUCACUCCGUUUUGCUUCUUUUAGAUCCAUGGCAUUGAGAAAUUGAAAAAAUAACUAGAUCAUCUGAUCAACCCCAUAAGUUUGGUUUUUUUUUUUUUUUUGGUCUUAAAAUGGCCAAACAUUGAGAAA